This 406-nucleotide ribosomal RNA is filed under the name uncultured bacterium. Its description in RNAcentral is "partial 16S ribosomal RNA". It matches the Rfam family "Bacterial small subunit ribosomal RNA", at positions 30 to 526 of the family's 1533-position model. The record is from RNAcentral.
AUUGAACGCUGGCGGCAGGCCUAACACAUGCAAGUCGAACGAGUGGCGGACGGGUGAGUAAUGUCUGGGAAACUGCCUGAUGGAGGGGGAUAACUACUGGAAACGGUAGCUAAUACCGCAUACCAUCAGAUGUGCCCAGAUGGGAUUAGCUUGUUGGGGGGGUAACGGCUCACCAAGGCGACGAUCCCUAGCUGGUCUGAGAGGAUGACCAGCCACACUGGAACGGAUAACCGGCCCGGACUCCUACGGGAGGCAGCAUUGGGGAAUAUUGCACAAUGGGGGAAAGCCUGACGCAGCCAUGCCGCGUGGAGGAAGAGGUCCUUCGGGCUGUAAAGUACUUUCAGCGGGGAGGCGUUACCCGAAGAAGAAGCACCGGCUAACUCCGUGCCAGCAGCCGCGGUAAUAC